UGCAGUUUUACAUGUGUAUUAGUAUUUAAGUUUCAACUGCAAACUGCUUUCACAAAUGUUGUAAUAAGAAUGAAGUUUGUGUGUUAGUUUUUCUUUGACUAUUUCCAUUUCUGAAUUGCUCAGUGUAUUCCGGUACUAGUUGUAAUAUAAAGAUUUUCGUUUUAAUUAUGGAAUAUGGUAGUACAGCAGAUCACUUGAUGCAUGCCGAGACGGAAAUUCACAUUCCUACAACUUGGGAAAGUAUCAACAUCUUACAUUAAACAAUGGACUAGAAGAUUCUGAUAAUAAUAAUGGUUUUAUGCAAUAUGGCAGUAUAAUAGUAGAUCACACAAGGCAUGCUGAGACAUUUAUUAACAUUUUCGGAAUUUGGGAAAGUUUCAACAUCCCACAUUGAACAUGGACUUGAAGAUUCUGAUAAUAAUAAUGAUUUUAUGCAAUGUACUUGUAAUGAAUAUAAAAUGUAAUUGAUAGUAAAUUAAUAGUAGUGUAUCAAUUGAAAUUUGUGAAAAAUAUGAAUAUAGUAUUGGUAAUCAAAA
Rhopalosiphum padi (bird cherry-oat aphid) is the source of this 536-nucleotide long non-coding RNA. RefSeq lists it as uncharacterized. The transcript is spliced from 3 exons. NCBI's taxonomy places the organism in Eukaryota, Metazoa, Arthropoda, Insecta, Hemiptera, Aphididae. The record is from RefSeq and is a predicted model, not a curated record.